GAUGAACGCUGGCGGCGUGCUUAACACAUGCAAGUCGAGCGGAGUUUGUAGAUGGAUUUCCUUCGGGAAUGAAGCCUACAAACUUAGCGGCGGACGGGUGCGUAACGCGUGGGUAAUCUGCCCUUGUCACUGGGAUAACACAUCGAAAGGUGUGCUAAUACCAGAUAAUAUCAAGUCAUGGCAUCAUGACUUGAUCAAAGAACCUCGGACAAGGAUGAGCCUGCGUCUGAUUAGCUAGUUGGUGGGGUAAUGGCCUACCAAGGCGACGAUCAGUAGCCGACCUGAGAGGGUGAUCGGCCACACUGGAACUGAGACACGGUCCAGACUCCUACGGGAGGCAGCAGUGGGGAAUAUUGCACAAUGGGCGCAAGCCUGAUGCAGCAACGCCGCGU
RNAcentral lists this ribosomal RNA (392 nucleotides) under uncultured bacterium. RNAcentral's name for it is "bacterial SSU rRNA". It matches the Rfam family "Bacterial small subunit ribosomal RNA", at positions 28 to 402 of the family's 1533-position model. The record is from RNAcentral.